AAUCUUGCGCAAUGGAGGGAACUCUGACGCAGCGACGCCGCGUGAACGAUGAAGGUCUUCGGAUCGUAAAGUUCUGUUGUCAGGGAAGAACAAGUAUCGGAGUAACUGCCGGUACCUUGACGGUACCUAACCAGAAAGCCCCGGCUAACUACGUGCCAGCAGCCGCGGUAAUACGUAGGGGGCAAGCGUUGUCCGGAAUUAUUGGGCGUAAAGGGUGCGUAGGCGGCCUUUUAAGUCAGAUGUGAAAGCCCACGGCUCAACCGUGGGAUUGCAUUUGAAACUGGAGGGCUUGAGUAUCGGAGAGGGUAGUGGAAUUCCCAGUGUAGCGGUGAAAUGCGUAGAUAUUGGGAGGAACACCAGUGGCGAAGGCGACUACCUGGACGAUUACUGACGCUGAUGCACGAAAGCUAGGGGAGCAAACA
RNAcentral lists this ribosomal RNA (422 nucleotides) under uncultured bacterium. RNAcentral describes it as "partial 16S ribosomal RNA". It matches the Rfam family "Bacterial small subunit ribosomal RNA", at positions 360 to 774 of the family's 1533-position model. The record is from RNAcentral.